GAUGAACGCUGGCGGCGUGCCUAAUACAUGCAAGUCGAGCGAACAGAUGAGGAGCUUGCUCCUCUGACGUUAGCGGCGGACGGGUGAGUAACACGUGGAUAACCUACCUAUAAGACUGGGAUAACUUCGGGAAACCGGAGCUAAUACCGGAUAAUAUAUUGAACCGCAUGGUUCAAUAGUGAAAGACGGUUUUGCUGUCACUUAUAGAUGGAUCCGCGCCGCAUUAGCUAGUUGGUAAGGUAACGGCUUACCAAGGCAACGAUGCGUAGCCGACCUGAGAGGGUGAUCGACCACACUGGAACUGAGACACGGUCCAGACUCCUACGGGAGGCAGCAGUAGGGAAUCUUCCGCAAUGGGCGAAAGCCUGACGGAGCAACGCCGCGUGAGUGAUGAGGGUCUUCGGAUCGUAAAACUCUGUUAUUAGGGAAGAACAAAUGUGUAAGUAACUAUGCACGUCUUGACGGUACCUAAUCAGAAAGCCACGGCUAACUACGUG
Molecule: ribosomal RNA, 497 nt
Filed under: uncultured bacterium
Lineage: Bacteria
Description: partial 16S ribosomal RNA
Rfam family: Bacterial small subunit ribosomal RNA
Source: RNAcentral